CGCGGGAUUGGGUGCAGCAGGCGCGAAAACUUUACAAUGCGGGAAACCGCGAUAAGGGAAUACUGAGUGCCAGCAUAUUAUGUUGGCUGUCCACCUGUAUAAAUAGCAGGUGUUAGCAAGGGCCGGGCAAGACCGGUGCCAGCCGCCGCGGUAACACCGGCGGCCCGAGUGGUGGCCACUAUUAUUGGGUCUAAAGGGUCCGUAGCCGGUUUGAUCAGUCUUCCGGGAAAUCUGACAGCUCAACUGUUAGGCUUCCGGGGGAUACUGUCAGACUUGGGACCGGGAGAGGUAAGAGGUACUACAGGGGUAGGAGUGAAAUCUUGUAAUCCUUGUGGGACCACCAGUGGCGAAGGCGUCUUACCAGAACGGGUCCGACGGUGAGGGACGAAAGCUGGGGGCACGAACCGGAUUAGAUACCCGGGUAGUCCCAGCCGUAAACGAUGCUCGCUAGGUGUCUGGGAUGGUGCGACCGUUUCAGGUGCCGCAGGGAAGCCGUGAAGCGAGCCACCUGGGAAGUACGGCCGCAAGGCUGAAACUUAAAGGAAUUGGCGGGGGGAGCACUACAACGGGUGGAGCCUGCGGUUUAAUUGGACUCAACGCCGGAAAACUCACCUGGGGCGACAGCAAUAUGUAGGUCAGGCUGAAGGUCUUACCUGAAUCGCUGAGAGGAGGUGCAUGGCCGUCGUCAGUUCGUACUGUGAAGCAUCCUGUUAAGUCAGGCAACGAGCGAGACCCGUGCCCACUGUUGCCAGCAUAUCCUUAGGGAUGAUGGGUACUCUGUGGGGACCGCUGGUGCUAAACCAGAGGAAGGUGCGGGCUACGGUAGGUCAGUAUGCCCCGAAUCUCCAGGGCUACACGCGGGCUACAAUGACCGGGGCAAUGGGUCCCUACCCCGAAAGGGGUUGGUAAUCUCAUAAACCCGGCCGUAGUUCGAAUUGAGGGCUGCAACUCGCCCUCAUGAAGCUGGAAUCCGUAGUAAUCGCGUUUCAAUAUAGCGCGGUGAAUACGUCCCUGCUCCUUGCACGAAUUCGCCGAAUCACUAGU
Molecule: ribosomal RNA, 1044 nt
Filed under: uncultured Methanolobus sp.
Lineage: Archaea; Methanobacteriati; Methanobacteriota; Methanomicrobia; Methanosarcinales; Methanosarcinaceae
Description: bacterial SSU rRNA
Rfam family: Archaeal small subunit ribosomal RNA
Source: RNAcentral